Molecule: ribosomal RNA, 490 nt
Filed under: uncultured bacterium
Lineage: Bacteria
Description: bacterial SSU rRNA
Rfam family: Bacterial small subunit ribosomal RNA
Source: RNAcentral
GAGUUUGAUCCUGGCUCAGAACGAACGCUGGCGGCGUGGAUAAGACAUGCAAGUCGAACGAGAGAAUUGCUAGCUUGCUAAUAAUUCUCUAGUGGCGCACGGGUGAGUAACACGUGAGUAACCUGCCCCCGAGAGCGGGAUAGCCCUGGGAAACUGGGAUUAAUACCGCAUAGUAUCGAAAGAUUAAAGCAGCAAUGCGCUUGGGGAUGGGCUCGCGGCCUAUUAGUUAGUUGGUGAGGUAACGGCUCACCAAGGCGAUGACGGGUAGCCGGUCUGAGAGGAUGUCCGGCCACACUGGAACUGAGACACGGUCCAGACACCUACGGGUGGCAGCAGUCGAGAAUCAUUCACAAUGGGGGAAACCCUGAUGCAGCAACGCCGCGUGAAGGAAGACGGUUUUCGGAUUGUAAACUUCUGUUCUUAGUGAAGAUAAUGACGGUACCUGACUAAGAAGCCCCGGCUAACUACGUGCCAGCCGCCGCGGUAAUUC